GAAGGUGUUGUCUGACUCAGCCUCCCAGCUUCCUUUUUGCAUAAAGAGUCUGGGGGUCCUGAAAUUUUUAGAUUUUCCUUUACAGUGGAAUAACUUCAGGUAUCAGCUUGUCAGAUGAAUCUGAGGAAAACUCAAGGAAUAAAGACAAAAUGACAUCGGAGUGGUACCUACGACAAAUGGUCAUAGAGGAACGCCUCUCCCAAAGAGCUCCGGAAGAAAAGAGCCCAGUGGUAAACAACCCAUAUACUCUGCAAAAAUAAGUAAACAAAACGUUUGAUAAUGCAUUGAAAUCAUCUUUUUAAAUGAUUUCCUGAGAGAGCAAGAAGUCAAAGAAUGCACAGAAGCUGAAAACAAGAGAAAAAGAAGACACUUGGAAGAUAAUAAAGGCCUAAAGCCAACUUUUCCCUAGGAAGCAUCUGCUCAAUCAUGAUAAUCUCCAGUUUCUGUUUUCAUGGAAGUGCAGAACAUAGGAAAUAGGUAAUAAAAUCAAGGACUACCCAAAAUGAAAGAUUUCACAGAUCUCUUCAUAAAAUUGAUGAAAAUCCUGGAGGGUGAAAUCAACCAAACAGAAGGAUCAGCAAGUAAGCUAAAUUCUCUAAGGUUCCCUGACUAGUAAACACAAUUUGGCUUUUAUAAUCUAUAUUUUCAACCUGCAUUCCUUCUACAUAUAUGGUCAACAAAGAUUUUUAAGUGAUAUCAAAUUGGAAAUACAAUCAGGUGACUGAUAGAAGCCAACAGAAUUCCUCUCCAGAGAACGCAGUCAUAUCCAGGCCUCAAAGAAUUAUCACAGCUGAAGUUCCAAGAAACAUGAGUUCAUGAUAGAAAAUCAUGAAAUAUGUGAGCAUAUAGGGUGAAAUUAAUGAGAGUCAGCCAAAACAAGAUACCAGCAAUAACUAUAAAUAUUGAAAUUAAAUUAAUUAGGAGAAUAUAAAAUUAGCACUUUCUAUGUUUCAAUCAAUAAGAUAUUUACUGAAAUU
RNAcentral lists this long non-coding RNA (977 nucleotides) under Homo sapiens (human). Its description in RNAcentral is "HSALNT0246972". Lineage: Eukaryota; Metazoa; Chordata; Mammalia; Primates; Hominidae. The record is from RNAcentral.